This 497-nucleotide ribosomal RNA is filed under the name uncultured bacterium. Its description in RNAcentral is "partial 16S ribosomal RNA". It matches the Rfam family "Bacterial small subunit ribosomal RNA", at positions 28 to 507 of the family's 1533-position model. The record is from RNAcentral.
GAUGAACGCUGGCGGCGUGCCUAAUACAUGCAAGUCGAGCGAACAGACGAGGAGCUUGCUCCUCUGACGUUAGCGGCGGACGGGUGAGUAACACGUGGAUAACCUACCUAUAAGACUGGGAUAACUUCGGGAAACCGGCGCUAAUACCGGAUAAUAUAUUGAACCGCAUGGUUCAAUAGUGAAAGACGGUUUUGCUGUCACUUAUAGAUGGAUCCCCGCCGCAUUAGCUAGUUGGUACGGUAACGGCUUACCAAGGCAACGAUGCGUAGCCGACCUGAGAGGGUGAUCGGCCACACUGGAACGGAGACACGGUCCAGACUCCUACGGGAGGCAGCAGUAGGGAAUCUGCCGCAAUGGGCGAAAGCCUGACGGAGCAACGCCGCGUGAGUGAUGAAGGUCUUCGGAUCGUAAAACUCUGUUAUUAGGGAAGAACAAAUGUGUAAGUAACUAUGCACGUCUUGACGGUACCUAAUCAGAAAGCCACGGCUAACUACGUG